CGGAGUGUAGCGCAGCCUGGUAGCGCACCUGCUUCGGGAGCAGGGGGUCGCGUGUUCAAAUCACGCCACUCCGA
Molecule: transfer RNA, 74 nt
Filed under: Pleomorphomonas diazotrophica
Lineage: Bacteria; Pseudomonadati; Pseudomonadota; Alphaproteobacteria; Hyphomicrobiales; Pleomorphomonadaceae
Rfam family: tRNA
About the family: Transfer RNA (tRNA) molecules are approximately 80 nucleotides in length. Their secondary structure includes four short double-helical elements and three loops (D, anti-codon, and T loops). Further hydrogen bonds mediate the characteristic L-shaped molecular structure. tRNAs have two regions of fundamental functional importance: the anti-codon, which is responsible for specific mRNA codon recognition, and the 3' end, to which the tRNAs corresponding amino acid is attached (by aminoacyl-tRNA synthetases). tRNAs cope with the degeneracy of the genetic code in two manners: having more than one tRNA (with a specific anti-codon) for a particular amino acid; and 'wobble' base-pairing, i.e. permitting non-standard base-pairing at the 3rd anti-codon position.
Source: Rfam by way of RNAcentral